GAAAACACCUCUGUGUUGGGGAGUAUUCAAAGCUACAUUUUCAAAGCAGAAGACUACAUUUUAUAAAAUAUGUCAGACUACCAGUAUGCUGUGUAUUUUGAGGCAAGUAACCUCUCAGAGGAAGAUCUGAGGAAGAUCAAACAGUACUUUCAGAUUAGGCGUCGUUCUGGAGGGGGAGAAUGUGGAGAAGUGAAGAAAAUAAGCGAGAACUUCUACAGGAUAGCCUUUAGGGAGGAAACAGACCAGAAACAAGUGUUAAGAAAAACGGAUCAUACUAUCCAGCUAUCCAGACAAAGAAAUCUGCAAAUCACUUUAAGCUGCAAUGAGAUACAAGAGGAUAACAGUCUUGCACAGUCUGCGUCACGUCAACAGACAGCCUCAAGUUGUAAACCAGUGGAAAAUAUAUUUGAAUUGGAUUCUUAUCUUCUGCGAUUCCUGAAAGAAAAUAAAGAAGCAUUCUUGGACUUGGAGAAACACCUUUCCUCUCUAAACUGCUCCUUUAAAUUAGACCUGGACUCUGAGAAAGUAGUGGUAGUAAAGGAUGAAGUCAAGUCUGGUGAAGAUGAUAUUGCCCUUGAUAAAUGGAAAGCAAAGGUUGAGGACGUGUUUUUUAAGCUAAAGUUACGCUAUGACAUCUAUUUUGAGGUUAACCCUGAUAGCCUAAAGACCCUCAAGCAGAACCCCUUUUUACCCACAGAAGACCUUGGAAUCUAUAGAGAAGAAGAUGUAGUUGUAAUUGUGGGAGAACCUAUGAAGCUGGAGAAGCUCCUAAAAGCCAUGAAGUUGCAACAGCAGAUCUGUAAAGAGUGUCUUGUGUCUGAAGCAAAUUUUGAUCUUGUGAAGGAGCAGUUCAGGCUGGAAAUACAGUCUAAUUUUUCAGAGAUCAACAUUGCACAAGACAGGCCUGGCUCUGUUGUUCUUAAAGGUCCCAAGGAGCAAGUUGAAGCUGCAGGGUCAAAGCUUCAGGAGCUGGUGAGUCAAAUUCAAGAGAAAAAGAUUCAUCUUCAUCAAGCCCUCACAACAUUCUUGUCAUCAAGUGGUGCUAUACAAAAGUUCCAGGUGCGAUUCCAACAGAGUCUACGCAGUCCAGUUCUGUUUGAGACCAGAAAUUCAGACCUGGUUCUAAUGAGCCUGUCCACUGGGGCUCUUCAGGAAGCAGCGGCUGCAGUGCAGAGGGACCUGUGCAUGGAGUCAGUGCCACUAGAGGGAACUGAAGCUAAUUCACCUGGAAUAGACUCUCUGAAAGAAUCUUUGAAUCAAGCCUUACAAGAAGCUAAUCAAGGAAGCACUAAUGUGGAGUUAAUUUAUCAACCAGGAACACGUGCUGAUUCCAGGAUUAAGGUGCAAGUAGUGGGAUACAGCAAUGAAGUUAGCAAAUUAAAGAAAAUCAUACAGGACUACAAGGAAAAACAAGCAACCUGCCACGACUCUUUGCCUCUACCUCUACCAGAAAUGGUAG
RNAcentral lists this long non-coding RNA (1459 nucleotides) under Astyanax mexicanus (Mexican tetra). Its description in RNAcentral is "lncRNA (ENSAMXG00005000860.1)". Lineage: Eukaryota; Metazoa; Chordata; Actinopteri; Characiformes; Acestrorhamphidae. The record is from RNAcentral.